This 500-nucleotide ribosomal RNA is filed under the name uncultured bacterium. RNAcentral's name for it is "bacterial SSU rRNA". It matches the Rfam family "Bacterial small subunit ribosomal RNA", at positions 28 to 521 of the family's 1533-position model. The record is from RNAcentral.
GAUUAACGCUAGCGGAAGGCAUAAUACAUGCAAGUCGAACGGGAUAGAACUUAGCAAUAGGUUCUUGAGAGUGGCGCACGGGUGCGUAACACGUAUGCAACCUACCUUUAACCGGGACACAACCUCGAGAAAUUGUGGCUAAUAUCCCAUAACACUGCGAAGUGGCAUCACUUUGCAGUUAAAACUCCGGUGGUUAUUGAUGGGCAUGCGCGACAUUAGCUAGUUGGUGAGGUAACGGCCCACCAAGGCUACGAUGUCUAGGGGUUCUGAGAGGAUUAUCCCCCCACACUGGUACUGAGACACGGACCAGACUCCUACGGGAGGCAGCAGUAAGGAAUAUUGGUCAAUGGGCGCAAGCCUGAACCAGCCAUGCCGCGUGAAGGAUGACGGCCCUAUGGGUUGUAAACUUCUUUUGUACGGGAAAAAACCACCGGUCGUGUAUCGGUGCUGAUGGUACCGUAAGAAUAAGCAUCGGCUAACUCCGUGCCAGCAGCCGCGGU